Non-coding RNA from Vicugna pacos (alpaca), 545 nucleotides. The record is from RefSeq and is a predicted model, not a curated record. Lineage: Eukaryota; Metazoa; Chordata; Mammalia; Artiodactyla; Camelidae.
CCGGGGGCGGGAGCGGCGCCCCGCCGAACGGAUGUCCGGGGGUCCCACCAGCCAAACUCUGGGCGGGAGGGGUCGGACGGACUUCGGGGAAGCCGUCGCCCCACUUCCCUGCCCAAAACCCCAAACGCGGCCCCUCCGGAGGCCUCCCUGAAAAUCACUGCCAACUUUGCAGUAGGAAGUGAAACCAGAAGCAGAGCAACUUUCACUUUCUCGAUGUCACUUUGAUACUCGCCGCAAGGCGGGAGCCAGGCACACUGUACUCCUUUCGAAAGGUGAACUCCCUCAAGCUCGGAGAGAGCUCCUCAGGAGCUAUCAUUCGGUUCUAACAGCCCAUGCCAGCCUAGUGAGUGGCCACUGAGGCACCCUGGCCAACAGGCAGCCAACUGCCAGGCAGGUGAGUGAGGCUGCACUGGACCACCCAGCCUCGGUCAAGUCUUCUGCCACCUGGAGCCACCUGCAACCCAGAAGACCAGCAGAACUGCACCCAGCCUAAACUGCCAAACCAGAGAAUCAUGAGCAAGUCAAAUUAAAACUUGUGGUUUUAA